UUGGCUGAUCCCGCGACUUCCUCCUCGUUCUUCCUGGGCCACCAUCCUAAGGGAGGCGGUCCCUGGCUAAAGUCCUUGUGACUCCAGCCUGAAGACUGACUUCUUGGGGCCAUCUCAGCCCCCACGGGCACCCUCAAAGGAUGGCUCAUCCUGAGGCCGGCUACUAUCAGAAUGCCCUGGAUCAGCUCAAGCAGCACUUCCCCAGGUUCCCCACUCACUUGAUGACACAGAUGGACAGCGCUUACUACUUGGUGAGCCCCGGCCCGGGAAGCCCCGCCC
This is a long non-coding RNA of Lagenorhynchus albirostris (white-beaked dolphin), 279 nucleotides long. RefSeq lists it as uncharacterized. Lineage: Eukaryota; Metazoa; Chordata; Mammalia; Artiodactyla; Delphinidae. The transcript is spliced from 4 exons. The record is from RefSeq and is a predicted model, not a curated record.